GUGAGUGUCUCUGUGUUAUCCUGCGAUAGACUGGCGACCUGUCCAGGUUUUAUCCCGCCUCACACCCAUCGAUAGCUUGAGAUUGGCACCAGCGCCCCUCGCUACCCCAUGAGGGAUAGACGUGUUAGAAAAUGGAUGGAUAGAUGGUUUUUAUCAGGUGUCAUAAUAAGUCCCUUUUUUUUGUAAUACUGAACUAGCAUAAAUGUAAAUUUGAUCCAUUGUUAAUGGAAUAGAUUUUAUAACCUUUAAAUGAUAAUAUUCCAUCACAUUUAAGAAUUGAGUAUUUUGAUGAUUAUGUCCUUAAUUCAUAGAAAAUAAACAAAUAUGUCAUGACUUAAGUACAUGAGUACAAAAAGGUUUGUUUACAGGAACUGGGUGUAGGAAGGGAAGGAAUAGUGAUGGUGAAAUAAGGGGAAAAAAUUGGAAAAGGCAGCAGAUUUACACACAGCCACCAAAAUGACCAUCACCCAUCCUGGUCAUUUUGACCCUUCACAAUUUCAGGCUUUUAUAGUUUUGUUUGUUUGGUACUUCGCUUUUUCAACUUAAAAAAUAAACCGUCUGCAUUGUAUUUGCAUGGGAGGGUUAAGCAGAUCAUACAUAAUUUUCUACUAUAAUCUACUUAUCGUCUCCCUAUAAAUGGCUCCAAUAAAUUAAAUCCACUUGAAGGAUUCCUCCUAAAUCUGAUUGGUUUUGAUCCAUGUCCCAAUCAGUCAUUUUACCUAUGGGUCAACAUGAGAACCAAAAGAGAUACAGCACGGUUUAUACAAAGUUGUUUUUACAAAAUAUUACACAAUUAAAUUAUAAAGGAUUUUAAUGUUGUUAUGACUGUUUGUUCACAGAAUACCUCAUAAAUACAUAUACAUUUAUGGGUUAAUAAAAAUGGUAGGAGAACAGGAUAAAAUAUCAGCACACAGGUGCAACAAAUGGGUAUGAAUUGGUGAAGUGGCAAAUUGAUCAUGGGCUGACCAGCAUACUGAUAUUAUUAUUAUGUAUUUAGUUUUGUUAUUUUAAUUAUAUUGUUGCUGUUGUUAAUAACUUUGCUGUUGGCAUUAUUUUUUUGUCCAUGUUUUUAUCAUUAUUAGCAUGAAUAUUACUAUUAUGUUAUUUAUUAUUGGUGCUGUUAUUGAUGUUUUUGUUGUUUGUAUCAUUAUUGUUGUCAUUUGUGUUGUUGUUGUUAUCGUAUUCAUUCUUAAUGUUGUUGUAAUUAUUGUUUAUUGUUGUAGUUUUUACUAUUACUUAUGGUUGUUGUUAUUUGUGCCAUUACUUUUAUUAAGGUUGGUGUUGUUUUUGUUUUUACUGUCAUUAUUUUUACUGCUGUUACAGCAAACUAUAGGCAACCAGACUUUCUCUCAGUUUCAGAAAAACUAAGCGAAAGUCCGGUUGUUAGUGUUGUCAGUAUUGUUUUUAUCGUUGUAGAUUGUUAUCUUGUUAUUGUUGUGGUUUGCUGUUGCUGUGUCUUUGUCUUCUCUCAUUUACAGUUUAGCAAUGCCAUGGAAAAUUCUUCAUUACCUGCAGACAAACAAACAAGUGAGAGUAAAAGGAAUUUAAGACAUAUUACCAUGUAUCUGCAUGGAAAUGCUUAAUCCCGGAAGGAGGAAAAAAAAAGGGAAAGGAGAAAAGAAUGAGUCAGCAGAAACAAACACCGAAAGCUCAGUGUAAGGAGAAGAAUCAUGAGCCAGAUUGUAGCAAAGACGACUUCAAGGACCGGGUUAUUUUUUAUUUUUUUGGGGAAAUAAAUUGGAUUUUAUUUUAGCCCUCUAGACACACUGAACACCCAGGAAGGGGGUUUCCUCUUGUGUGGUCCUUCUCAAGGUUUCUUCCAGUCUCAACAGAAAAAAACCUUCAAUUCUGGGAGUUUUUUCUUGCCCACUUGAGGGAGGUGUCUUAAUCAUGUGGGCUUCCAAAUUACUAUUACCAUGUGUUUUAAAGAUUAAAUGACUUUUUCUAAAAAAUAAAACAAUGUUGAAAUAGUUU
Molecule: long non-coding RNA, 1974 nt
Organism: Fundulus heteroclitus (mummichog)
Lineage: Eukaryota; Metazoa; Chordata; Actinopteri; Cyprinodontiformes; Fundulidae
Exons: 4
Source: RefSeq, a predicted model, not a curated record